Molecule: long non-coding RNA, 192 nt
Filed under: Oryctolagus cuniculus (rabbit)
Lineage: Eukaryota; Metazoa; Chordata; Mammalia; Lagomorpha; Leporidae
Description: lncRNA (ENSOCUG00000030081.1)
Source: RNAcentral
AUGAACCUAUUUCAAGAAAAACGUUUUCAUAAUAUGAAGACAUUAUUUGCAUUUUUCAUUGUGAUUCUCUCAUUGGAAUACAGUCGAAUUCCUGGUGGCUACAUCACUCUGACUAGGAAAGCUAUGCAUAUGGAACCACCUGACAGUGAAGAGACCGAUGACUCAGUACAAAAAUUCCAAAGGAACUUGUAA